GAUAAACGCUGGCGGCGUGCCUAACACAUGCAAGUCGAACGUCUUGCUGGUUCUUCGGAACCGGUAGGGAGUGGCGGACGGGUGAGUAACACGUGGGUAACCUGCCCCAAAGUGAGGAAUACCGGCGAGAAAUCGCCGACAAGACCGCAUAGGCUUGCGGCUCGAGGGAGUGGCAAGCAAAGCUCUCCGCAAGGAGGGCGCUUUGGGAGGGGCUCGCGGCCGAUUAGCUGGUUGGUGAGGGAAGAGCUCACCAAGGCGACGAUCGGUAGCUGGUCUG
Molecule: ribosomal RNA, 277 nt
Filed under: uncultured bacterium
Lineage: Bacteria
Description: partial 16S ribosomal RNA
Rfam family: Bacterial small subunit ribosomal RNA
Source: RNAcentral